AACGAACGCUGGCGGCAGGCUUAACACAUGCAAGUCGAACGCCCCGCAAGGGGAGUGGCGCCCGGGUGAGUAACGCGUGGAUAGCUGCCUUUUGGUUCGGAAUAACCCCGGGAAACUGGGGCUAAUACCGGAUGGUUCCUACGGGAUAAAGAUUGAUCGCCAAAAGAUGAGUUCGCGUACGAUUAGCUAGUUGGUGAGGUAAUGGCUCACCAAGGCGACGAUCGUUAGCUGGUCUGAGAGGACGAUCAGCCACACUGGGACUGAGACACGGCCCAGACUCCUACGGGAGGCAGCAGUGGGGAAUAUUGGACAAUGGGGGCAAUCCUGAUCCAGCCAUGACGCGUGAGUGAUGAAGGCCUUCGGGUUGUAAAGCUCUUUUGGCGGGGACGAUGAUGACGGUACCAGCAGAAUAAGCCCCGGCUAACUUCGUG
RNAcentral lists this ribosomal RNA (431 nucleotides) under uncultured bacterium. RNAcentral describes it as "partial 16S ribosomal RNA". It matches the Rfam family "Bacterial small subunit ribosomal RNA", at positions 29 to 507 of the family's 1533-position model. The record is from RNAcentral.